Molecule: long non-coding RNA, 453 nt
Organism: Gopherus flavomarginatus (Mexican gopher tortoise)
Lineage: Eukaryota; Metazoa; Chordata; Testudines; Testudinidae
Exons: 3
Source: RefSeq, a predicted model, not a curated record
CUAUCCCCCAGCAUCUCACCCAACAGCCCUGACGGAGGGGAGGGAGGAGAGAGAGAGGGGUGCUCCUGGGGAGGAGGGAGAAAGGAGGGGGUGCUCCGUGGGACGGGGGGGAGAAGAAUGGAUGUUAUGGGGGACAACAAAGGAUACUGGUUCCAGAGCCACAGAGCCUGCCUCGCCUCACCUCACCUCAGCCGGGGGGAAAGAGUCACACUCACAGAAUAUGUAUUGUGUGUGUGCAUGGGAGAGAGAGAGGGGGAAGGACGGAGCAAGUGAAAAAAAAUAUCCUGGCUCCAUUGAUAUCAGUGCAUCUUGGCUUUUGCAAGAUAAGUUCAGAGAAGGAUGCAUUAAUAUCCCAGUGAAUGAUUAAUGGUGCUCCUUUUAAUCCAGGCCAAAAAAAAAAAAAAAAAAAAAAACUCUCCAUGUCUAAAUUCUUUUUGUGUGUGGGGGUGUGUG